ACAACAAUAAACUCGUAUUAAGUGAGAGAUGAAGAUUUAAUUAU
Molecule: non-coding RNA, 44 nt
Filed under: Trypanosoma brucei brucei
Lineage: Eukaryota; Euglenozoa; Kinetoplastea; Trypanosomatida; Trypanosomatidae
Source: RNAcentral